GAUGAACGCUGGCGGCGUGCCUAAUACAUGCAAGUCGAGCGAACGGACGAGAAGCUUGCUUCUCUGAUGUUAGCGGCGGACGGGUGAGUAACACGUGGAUAACCUACCUAUAAGACUGGGAUAACUUCGGGAAACCGGAGCUAAUACCGGAUAAUAUUUUGAACAGCAUGGUUCAAAAGUGAAAGACGGUCUUGCUGUCACUUAUAGAUGGAUCAGCGCUGCAUUAGCUAGUUGGUAAGGUAACGGCUUACCAAGGCAACGAUGCAUAGCCGACCUGAGAGGGUGAUCGGCCACACUGGAACUGAGACACGGUCCAGACUCCUACGGGAGGCAGCAGUAGGGAAUCUUCCGCAAUGGGCGAAAGCCUGACGGAGCAACGCCGCGUGAGUGAUGAAGGUCUUCGGAUCGUAAAACUCUGUUAUUAGGGAAGAACAUAUGUGUAAGUAACUGUGCACAUCUUGACGGUACCUAAUCAGAAAGCCACGGCUAACUACGUG
RNAcentral lists this ribosomal RNA (497 nucleotides) under uncultured bacterium. RNAcentral describes it as "partial 16S ribosomal RNA". It matches the Rfam family "Bacterial small subunit ribosomal RNA", at positions 28 to 507 of the family's 1533-position model. The record is from RNAcentral.